CCGCGAUGUUUCGUGAGAAA
Molecule: unclassified non-coding RNA, 20 nt
Filed under: Mus musculus (house mouse)
Lineage: Eukaryota; Metazoa; Chordata; Mammalia; Rodentia; Muridae
Description: oocyte_clustered_small_RNA2384
Source: RNAcentral